UGAGGCAAGCCAGUAAAGAACAUCCCUCCAUGGCCUCUGCAUCAGCUCCUGCUUCCUGACCUGCUUGAGUUCCAGUCCUGGCUUCCGUGGUGAUGAACAGCAGUAUGGAAGUGUAAGCCGAAUAAACCCUUUCCUCCCCAACUUGUUUCUUGGUCAUGAUGUUUGUGCAGGAAUAGAAACCCUGACUAAGACAAAUUGGUACCAGCAGAGUGGGGUAUUCCUGUGACAACCUGACCAAUGUUUUGGGGAGGACUGUGGAAGGACUUUGGAACUUUGGGCUUGAAGAUCCACCCGUUGUUAAAAGCUCUGUCAGAUGUUGUGUAGGAGCUUGGAAGAUAAUGUUGAGAACACUGCAGAAGAUGGAGGUCUGGUUUGUGAAAUUUCAGAGGGAAAAUUAAAGACUCUUUUCAGGGCCAUUGCUGUUUUGAUUGUGAAGAUUCUGUAGUUCUGGUUAGCUGGGGCUGAAGAAUCAGCUGUGAUUAACAAGAUACCAGAACUACUAAAGCAAAAACUUUGCAUUACUGGGACUAUUGAUGCUGGUUAGCUGGAGUUAAGAAAUUAGCAGUGAUUAAGAAGAGACCAGCAUCAUUGAGGUGACAUCUUCUGGGAAGUGUUUUCUGAGAGCACAGUGGCUGUGUUCCAGAUAUAGCCAAAGUUGUACCUUGUGCUGUGGCUGGACUUGGUAAUGUAUAAGGGUCACCCAGGUGGUACUGGUUUUGAAGGCAUGAAGGAGUUGAGCAGAGCAGCUGAGGCUUGGCACUGUGAGAGGCCAUGGAAGGCCAUUGGUGAAAGUCCAGCCUCAGUUGCAAUUGAUGGCCCAGGACUGAAGGGGUCAUGCAGUGUUUUGGAGAUGCCAGUACCAUGAGAUGACCACCAAGAGCAGCAGCAGCAGUGGAGUACAGGCAUCUGGAGCCUAGAGGAUGACGCGUGUGCUACAAAGGGCAUGGCUGGAGAAGUGACCCAAGCCCUUGGAGGAGCCCAGAAGAUUGUAAGUUGGAUCCCAGACAUUGGACGGUUGGAGAUUGACUUUUGCUUUUGAUUGUGGCUGUGCCCUGAUAUUUUCCCUCUCGAAGGAAG
This 1077-nucleotide long non-coding RNA is filed under the name Mus musculus (house mouse). RNAcentral's name for it is "long non-coding RNA chr9:83512618-83513695". The record is from RNAcentral. Lineage: Eukaryota; Metazoa; Chordata; Mammalia; Rodentia; Muridae.